AUUUGCAGAUGAUAUUAUGGUUUACACAGCUAUCUAAGGAAUCUUCAAAGCAACUGCUAGAAACCAUAGUGAAUUCAGUAGUUGUAAAAUACAUGAACUAUAUACAAAAAUGAAUUGUAUUUCUAUAUACUUGCAGCAAAGACUUGAAAAAUUAAACAAAAAUAAUCCAUCUAUAAUAACACACAUACAAAAUAAAACAAUAAGUUCAAGAAAAGACAUCCAAGAUUACUACAUUGAAAACUAUAAGGCACUGCUGAGAGAAAUUACAGGAGGCCUAAAUGAAUGGAGAGUAAUAACCAUGCUCAUGGCUGGAGGACACACUGUCUUUCUUGUGUUGUUUCUCCUCAAAUUGAUCUAUUGAUUCAACACAGUCUCAACCAAAAUUCCAAUGGCACUUUGUAAAAGAAAAGGCCAGCUGAUUCUAAAAGAUAUUUGGGAAAGCAAAGCACCUAAGAAAACCGAUACAUUGCUGGGUGGUGGGGGUUGUGUGGAGAAAGAGAAACACAUUGGAGGACUCAUUAUCUGACAUCAGUUUUUUUUCUAUUGACCUAUAUUAAUUAUAAUAGUGGGUUAUUGCUUUAAGAAUAGACAAGUAGAUCAAUGGAAGAGAAUGGAGAGUUCAGAAACAGACCUACACAUACAUGGUCAAGUGAUUUUUUUGACAGACGUUCAAGGCCAUUGUUGUCAUCAGAAUGACACCUGUUCAGCUACAUAAAAGUGUGAAAAAAUGACUCAAUCUUUAUCAUUCACAAACACACAAAAUUAAUUUAAGAUGUAUCAUAAACUUAACCACAAAAACUAAGAGUCUAAGGCUUCUGUAAGACAACACUGAACAAUAUCUUUGCAACCUUUGAAGUAGGCAAAGAUUUCUGAGGGAGGACAGAGCAAGUUAAAAACAAAAAGGAAACAAAGACUGAUAAAUUGGACUUCAUCAAAACUAAAACUGCUCAUCAAAAGAAACCAUUAAGAAAAUGAAAAUGCAAGCUACAGAUGUAAAUAAAAAUAUUUACAAUACAUAUAUGUGACAAAGGACUUCUAUAAAAAUAAAUACAUUACAUAUAUAAUUCAUUUAAAUGUGCAAAAGACACUUCUCUAAAGAAGAGAGGAAUGGUCAACAAGUACAUGAAAAAGUGAUCAAGAUCCUACAAAAAUGCAAAUGAAAACCAUGACAUACAAUUUUAUACGCAUUAGCAUACUUAAAAUUGGAAAGACUGACAGCACCAAAUGUUGACAAGGCUAUCCAGCAACUGAAACUCUCAAAUGCUGCUGGUGGGAAUGUAAAAUGGUACAACCAUCUUGGAAAACAAUUUGGCAGCUUCUUAUAAAGUUAAACAUACAGUUGCUUCAGAGCCCAGCCAUUCCAUUUCCAGGUAUUUACAAGAGAAAUAAAAACCGAAAAAGACUAAAAUAAGAAUAUUCAUGGCAGCUUUGUCUAUAAAAGCAAAAACAUGGAAAAAACCAAAUGUCUGUCAAAAGAGAAUGGAUAAACAGUUUGGUAGCCAUAAAAUGGACUACUACUUAAAAAUAAAAGGAAACAAACUAUUGAUAAAUAAAACAUCAUGCAUGAAUCUCAAGAACAUUAUGCAGAGGGAGAGAAGUCAGACCCUAAAAAGCAUAUACUUCAUGAUUCCAUUUGUAUUAAGUUUGAGAACAGGCAAAAUUAAUCUAUGGUGGUAACAGGCAGAAGGGUGGUUGUCUCUGCACGGGUGGCAUUGUCUAGAAAGGGAUAUGAUUGUAUUCUUAUAGUCUGUGCAUUUCCCUGUCUGUACAUUUCACCACAAUACAAUAAAAAUGCAAUCUUAGAAGUCUAAGUUUGCUGAGUUGUUCUUCAGUGUUUACUUUAUUAGGAAUUGGAGAGAGCGAAGAGGUUUAAGCUUUGGGACAGGAAACAGACCAAGGAAACAAACCCCAAGGGCCGAGUGGGUGUGGCAUGAGGAAGGAUUCUCUCCUGAUGACAGGCUGUUUCUAGCCCAGUUCACUCCCACCUGCCCCUAAGGACCCAUUUCAACUGUCCAUUCUAUUUGGGUUAGAGGUAAAUUGCCAGAAAUAGAGACAAAUUAAAAUGCCAGAUUGAUUUCCUUUAUUUUCUCCUUCCUAUUUUGGUGACUAGGGAGAGGUCUGGAAAUGUUGAUAACAAUUUUAAUAGAGACAAAAGCAGAGACCAGGAUAUACUACCAUUUUUCAUAUUUUUUUUCUCUAAAAUUCAUUAGAUUCUGAACCUUUCUGACUCUGGAGUUUUUCUAUCCGGACUCCGUACAUCCCAUGAACUUUCAUUACCUCAUGGUGUUCCUUCUGCUCAGAAUUCCUUAUUCUGCUUUCUCUUUUAAAAAUUCUUUUUUUCCCCCCAAAUGCAAUUCUAAAUAUCAUGUUUGUCAAACCCACUUCAUUUGAAGGAACAGAUUUGUGUUUUACUCACAACUUUGCUCCCAGCACCUAGAACAAUGACUGGCACUUAGAGGGUGAGCAGCUCCUUCCCUCAUUUUCAAUCAAUCAAUCAUCAAUCAGUCUGUAUUAUGCAUUCACUGUUGGUGGGCUGAGCAGUAUCACCGCACACCAUGCAUACCCACUGACUUCCUCAGGCAGCAUAAACGGCUCCUCCCUUUAUAUUCAUACAGCAGAGGCAUUAGUGGGUUGCUUGUGUGUGUACUCAUUCCCUCUUUGUAGAACCUAAGCUUUCCGAGAGGCGUCUGAGUCUUGAUUGUUUUUGUUGGAAAAGUGCAAUGUCUGGUAUACAGUAAACAUGCAACAAAAUCUUCAAUGAAGGAAGGAAGGAAGGAAGGAAAACAGUACUCACCAGAGGACAACAAAACUUUCAGAAAAACUGUGGUGUUUUGUCCUGGGUGUAAGAAGGGGUGUGUGUGUGUGUGUGUGUGUGUGUCUCGUGUUCCUCUUCUGCAUCCACUUUGACAUCUUGGGAGGAUGGGAUUUGCCAACACACAUUCACUGUGACCUGGGAGUACAGCAGGGAUUCCCUGUCCCAGUGGAGCUGGCUCCCUCCCAGCCCAGUUCAGGGAAUAUGGGAGUGGACUGAGAUGGAUUUACAAGAGGGUCUUCUUCACCUGAAGCACCAGGAGCUCUGGCAUGUCACUGGCCAUUCUCAUGAGGUGUGGGAGGAGCUCCAGGGCUCCUCUGGCCACAGUGACAGUGGCAGACUCUAUGGCAAACCCAUGGGGCUAGUUUGUUGUGAACUUUGCCCAGAAUUCAACACAACACCGACUUUAUGUGUAGCUGUGGAAAGGGCCUGGCAUCUCCUUGGUGGGGAGAAAGGCAGUGAUGACCAUGGGCCAGCUUCUGGGCACCUCAGGGAGCAGCUGGUGGGGACUGACCAGGUAAGGAGGUUAGCGUGCACCUGGCAGCAAACUAGGCCAGCAACUCACCAGUGCCAGUGAAGCCCAGGGAAAGACAAUUUAGCAGCUUUAGAAGCUUUGACUACCCUUUCAUGUCGUCUGUUAGAUUGAACGAUAUAAAUUGAGGAUAUUUGUCCAUUUUUGACUUACCAAAAUAUCAGUUUCAUAUACUUCAAUCUAAUCUUUAUUUUUUAGUACCUGCUGUGUUUAAAGUUUAAGGUGCAUACAUCCCAGAAAGAAAUAAAAAGAAAUACCGAGAAAUGAAAGAAAGAGAAAGAGAAAAGAAAUAAAAAGAAAGAAAUUGUAAAAUCAAAAGUACCAUUUUCCCCUUUUUUUGCAGGUGACUUAGGGACAGUUAUGAGCAUGAGACAGGAAACAUUUAUGGUGGGGAAGUUAAAACAUCAUUUCUGAGAAUUCUAAGUGUGGCUCUUUUUCUCCUCCUGGGCACCCCAGCAGGUCCCUCCUUUGUAUGGAAAUGGUUUCUACUUUUCUUCCAGCCUUAAUGUGACUGCAUGGCAGCCAUGGUGCAGAGCUGGGAGUGGUCAGAGUGAGAGGUUCAGCCGAGGAGAGACCUGUUAGUCACCGUGUGCUGGCUGGAGGUUGGAGUGUGCCGGUGUCCACUUGACUGGCUUCCAAGGGAAAGGUAGACAGCUGCAUGACAGACAGGCCUGGUCACAGCAGGUUACGAUGCACUGUGUCAUCCGGCACACCAGGCAAUUUCCUUUUUGAGUCACUUUUCAGCUAAGAAUGAAUCAUGCUCCACCCUCCUUUUCAGCCCUUUAUGCUUGCCGGCUCUGCAGCCAAGAUGGGAGGGAGGCCAUUUCCUCUCUGCUGAGAGCAGGUCAGCAAGGAAGCUCCUGAGAGUGCAGCCCUUUCCCUGCUGGGCGGAAUCUGCAGGAGAAUGCCUGGUCCCCUUGUAAGGUGGCCCCUCCAGGAGCGGGGUGGCCAGCCCCAGAGCCUUCUACCACCUGGAGGCAAACCCUGAACCUGGAAAGUGAGAGGCGGGGCCAGGCCAUUUGCUAGUAGAGAAAUGUAGGAAAGUUCCUUUUCUGUGUGUGUUUUCUCUUGACUUUAAAAAAUCAUAAGCUUGCCCAUGGAGCUUUUGUGAGAGGAGAGAUUUGACCAGCUCUGUGCCUGCCCCCUGGGUCCUUAGCUGGUCGCUUUGUGCUUUGUCACUAGAAAAGGAAGAUGUAUCUAAAUCACUAUCACUAGAUUUGGCCAAUGGAAUUUUUGAAAACGUUUUCCAUUUUCUCAUGGUUUUGAAAAGUCUAUACUUACCAAGAAUUUGGCUUUAAGUUGUUGUUUUGUUGUUGGCAACUUUCUUUUGUUCUCUGUUUCGUUUAUCAACCUAUAGAAACAGGUCAAAAAUUAAAUGACUCCUUAUACAAGGCAAUUAAAGACAUGAAUGUGGGUGACGGACUCUGAGCAGAGAGCCUUUGCGAUUCUCUGGCAGGAAGGAAGAAGCCGCGGGUGUGGCGGAGGUGAGGUGGCCGGGCCCCUGCUCCCUCGCGCUGGGCUGCGUGCUCUGGAUGGGGUGGUGUCAGGGCUCUGCGCCUCCGCCCGGCGGCCUUCCAGACCUGACGCCUUAUUCGGAGCAGCGAAAUGGAAUCCUGAAGCCUGAGAAAAAGACAGGACUCAUCAGGGGAUCUAAAAGCUGGUGCCUUGCUUUCAGGCCAGGUCCAGGGUUGGGGGAUUCCCGGGGAGGCGCCAACUCUGAGAAGCAGGCUUGGUGCGCGCCUUUGCCUUCGCCUUCUCCUCCAGGCCUCUUCCAUUCCCUCCUGGAGGGCUCCCUUCCAGCGGCGGAGGCAUGCCUUUUGGAUUUUCAGGGUUUUUUCAAGAGUCUU
RNAcentral lists this long non-coding RNA (5191 nucleotides) under Homo sapiens (human). RNAcentral's name for it is "long non-coding RNA NONHSAT215765.1". Lineage: Eukaryota; Metazoa; Chordata; Mammalia; Primates; Hominidae. The record is from RNAcentral.